This 361-nucleotide RNase P RNA is filed under the name Calditrichota bacterium. RNAcentral describes it as "Calditrichaeota bacterium (activated sludge metagenome) RNase P RNA component class A". It matches the Rfam family "Bacterial RNase P class A". Rfam says of the family: Ribonuclease P (RNase P) is a ubiquitous endoribonuclease, found in archaea, bacteria and eukarya as well as chloroplasts and mitochondria. Its best characterised activity is the generation of mature 5'-ends of tRNAs by cleaving the 5'-leader elements of precursor-tRNAs. Cellular RNase Ps are ribonucleoproteins. Lineage: Bacteria; Pseudomonadati; Calditrichota. The record is from RNAcentral.
AUUGCACAAUGGGUGAUCGCUUCUCUUUUGAGAAGAGGAAAGUCCGAACACCUCAGAGCAGGAUGCCCUGGGAAACCAGGGGCAAUAUAUCGUAAUGAUAUGUUGACGGAUAGUGUCACAGAAAAUAUACCGCCCAAUUUGGGUAAGGGUGAAAAGGCGGGGAUCACGAGUAAAUGAUCUUAAUGUAAGAGCCCACCGCCGUUAAUCGCAAGGUUAGCGUGGCUGAUAAACCCCUUCCGGUGCAAGAUCAAGUAAAGAUACUGUGCGGCUCGUACAUAAUGUAUCUGAGUAGAUCGCGUAGAUAAAUGAUCACCACCUGAAAUUUUUGGUACAGAAUUCGGCUUAUAGUUGUGCAAUUAUG